This 1049-nucleotide ribosomal RNA is filed under the name Escherichia coli. RNAcentral's name for it is "partial 23S ribosomal RNA". It matches the Rfam family "Bacterial large subunit ribosomal RNA", at positions 418 to 1471 of the family's 2925-position model. The record is from RNAcentral. Lineage: Bacteria; Pseudomonadati; Pseudomonadota; Gammaproteobacteria; Enterobacterales; Enterobacteriaceae.
CGGGACACGUGGUAUCCUGUCUGAAUAUGGGGGGACCAUCCUCCAAGGCUAAAUACUCCUGACUGACCGAUAGUGAACCAGUACCGUGAGGGAAAGGCGAAAAGAACCCCGGCGAGGGGAGUGAAAAAGAACCUGAAACCGUGUACGUACAAGCAGUGGGAGCACGCUUAGGCGUGUGACUGCGUACCUUUUGUAUAAUGGGUCAGCGACUUAUAUUCUGUAGCAAGGUUAACCGAAUAGGGGAGCCGAAGGGAAACCGAGUCUUAACUGGGCGUUAAGUUGCAGGGUAUAGACCCGAAACCCGGUGAUCUAGCCAUGGGCAGGUUGAAGGUUGGGUAACACUAACUGGAGGACCGAACCGACUAAUGUUGAAAAAUUAGCGGAUGACUUGUGGCUGGGGGUGAAAGGCCAAUCAAACCGGGAGAUAGCUGGUUCUCCCCGAAAGCUAUUUAGGUAGCGCCUCGUGAAUUCAUCUCCGGGGGUAGAGCACUGUUUCGGCAAGGGGGUCAUCCCGACUUACCAACCCGAUGCAAACUGCGAAUACCGGAGAAUGUUAUCACGGGAGACACACGGCGGGUGCUAACGUCCGUCGUGAAGAGGGAAACAACCCAGACCGCCAGCUAAGGUCCCAAAGUCAUGGUUAAGUGGGAAACGAUGUGGGAAGGCCCAGACAGCCAGGAUGUUGGCUUAGAAGCAGCCAUCAUUUAAAGAAAGCGUAAUAGCUCACUGGUCGAGUCGGCCUGCGCGGAAGAUGUAACGGGGCUAAACCAUGCACCGAAGCUGCGGCAGCGACGCUGAUGCGUUGUUGGGUAGGGGAGCGUUCUGUAAGCCUGUGAAGGUGUGCUGUGAGGCAUGCUGGAGGUAUCAGAAGUGCGAAUGCUGACAUAAGUAACGAUAAAGCGGGUGAAAAGCCCGCUCGCCGGAAGACCAAGGGUUCCUGUCCAACGUUAAUCGGGGCAGGGUGAGUCGACCCCUAAGGCGAGGCCGAAAGGCGUAGUCGAUGGGAAACAGGUUAAUAUUCCUGUACUUGGUGUUACUGCGAAGGGGGG